RNAcentral lists this long non-coding RNA (1119 nucleotides) under Capsicum annuum. Its description in RNAcentral is "long non-coding RNA (CANN_LNC017287)". The record is from RNAcentral. Lineage: Eukaryota; Viridiplantae; Streptophyta; Magnoliopsida; Solanales; Solanaceae.
GGCCUAAGUUUUGCCUAAAGCGAUGAAAUUAUGUAAAUGAAGAAUAUCCCGCCGAACACCCAAAAAAUAAAAUUUUCCCUAUGAUUAACAUUUAUACAAGUGUAAAAAUAUAAAAAAUAUAAAGACACAAUUUAAAGUCUACUUUGAAUGUUAUUCCUGACAAAUAUUCUUGAUAACCUGUAUAAACACUCGUAAUAAAAUGUUAGUAACAAAUAAACAAUAAUUAAAAUAAAUUAAAAAAAUAUGUGUGCAUAUACGUAUUUAGAAAUAUAUUUUUUUUUAAACAGUGGGCUCGGAUAAAGUUUUGAAAUGUUCAACAUCCGUCCUUUUAUUUGUAAAGGCCUCAAAAAUCAACGGAUAAUUUCUUCAUCGGCCAUGUGUCAAUUUUUUUAUAUAAAAUAAAUAACUUGGAAAGUAAAGAUCCUUCUUUUAUAUUGGGAUGGCCUCAAGUAUCUGACGGAGAGUCAAUUGCCAGGUGUAACAUCAAUAAAUAUAGUAUACAGUAAGAAGAGUCGUAAAGCUGUAAGCCAGUCAUGAUAAAUGAGCAAAACAAAAUGAAAAAACAUCAAAAUAAACAUUUAAAACCAGUAGCCACACUCCAUACCUCAUUAAAAAUUAAUAAUCCGCAAACAAACAACAUAUAAUACGUUGGCAGAGAACAUAGUGCUAUUGAGAAUACUCAAUUUUUAUUCUAUGGUAAGUGUCAAUAUGUCAGUUAACAGCCACAGUUAACAACCAUAAAAUUAAGAAAUCGCAGAAACAGGCGAAAGGCAAUGAAACAACUAUAGUAUCGCUUCUAAACAAAGCAUCGCCAAAAAGCAAAAUCCAUCCAGAUCUGGCUAGUUUACUUAACAAGUAACAAUAAAGGGGGACUACGAUAAGUGGGAAAGUGUGAGAAAUGGGCAACACUGGUGGCGAGUGGAGGAGCAGCGGCGGACGGAGUUUUUGGCAUUGUGGUGGUGUGGUCUGGAAAGGACGGGUGGUGUGACCGGUUGUUGGUUAUUGUUAGAGGUUUAUUGGUUGUUGGGUAGUGGGUUUGGCUGGAGAAGAGAGGUGAAAGAGGGAUAUGAGAGAGGGAAGAGAAACGGUUGUUUUGGUGUUUUGAUACGCGUGUUUUUG